This is a non-coding RNA of Peromyscus maniculatus bairdii (prairie deer mouse), 633 nucleotides long. The record is from RefSeq and is a predicted model, not a curated record. NCBI's taxonomy places the organism in Eukaryota, Metazoa, Chordata, Mammalia, Rodentia, Cricetidae.
UCCUGGCUCCUGACUGCAGUCUUCCUCCAUGGUGCUGCUUGAGUAUCUGCGAGAUGGGUCUGUAUUCCCUUAGGCUGAGUCAAGACAGACUUAGGAUUCACACACUUCAGCGGAGCAUGUCACCAAGGCCAAAGGGGCUGCUUGGCUCAUCCUGAAUAAAGGAAUGAGUAUCAAAACAUUUGGAUCAUUCUUGUGAGCCCAUCUCCUUUUGUGGAUAGAUAUCCUGUUUGCCUUUCUACUGAUUUUUUUUUUUUUUUUUUUUUUUUUUUUUUUUUUUUCAAGGCGGAGAGUGGGAGACUCAAGGCUUUCUCAGCAACUGACAUCCAUUCUACUAGGUGACUCUAUGUGAGGAUUUCCAACUGGCAGCAAGCUUUGGGAACUGUGCUGGGAGAGAGAAAAGCUGUUUUGUGAGCUGUCUCGAGUUCCAUCAAUAGGUCAAGCUGCCCACACUGGAGAGGCUGCCUGUAAAAUCUCAGCCGAGGAAAAUUUGCCUCCGUGUUUCCUCUCCCGGUACUCAAUGGGAAUUGAGCUAACUGCAAGCUUGGUAAAGAGCAACCGCAGAGUACUAAACAGCGAAAAGAAAUGGAUAUUGAGUGUACAAAGCCCCCAGCACACAUGAAUAAACCAUUUCUG